Molecule: long non-coding RNA, 879 nt
Organism: Manis javanica (Malayan pangolin)
Lineage: Eukaryota; Metazoa; Chordata; Mammalia; Pholidota; Manidae
Source: RefSeq, a predicted model, not a curated record
GGGUGAUUCAGCCGUGAUUCAGCCGCGCCGCCGCGCGCGAAUCUGCCCUUCGGCUCUUCAGGUGCUGCGGUGCACCCGCCGUCGGCUUCCCGGAGCCCCAGGCACCAAGGGCCCCCAGCCGCCUGGCCCCCCGGCCCCCAGGCCAUCCAGGACGGCGGCCCCGAUGUCCAGCCUGGGUGGGCAGCAGUCUCUGACCUGAGUCAGCUUCCCUAACAGAGCUUUCACCCCACCUGGGAUGUAAUUACCGUUUUCAAGAAGAAGAGAAGGAAACGGGCUAUGGUACUUUUUCAGUUUGAAUGUAUCGAUGAACUUGCAAAGUUCUGCAUAUGAAACCAAAAGAAUCCCAAUAUGAAAAGACAAUUCUGUAAAAAGGCAAGUCUAACAGAAAAGUUUAAUUCACAGAUGCUCCAAAAUUAUAGCCUGUAACCAUCCAGCCACCUGCUGCUGUUACUGGAUGAUGCUCCAUCCUAUUACAGCAAUUCUUUCAAACAGAGCUGUCAAGCUAUGUUCCUGCCUUGUGGAGCUGGCCUUUGCUGAAGUUCCUGGCUGGGUGAAUUUCCAAAGGAAAGCUAAGCCAAAACCAAGAUUUCCAAAGGAAAGCCAAGGCCCUAGGGGAGGAGAAAGGACUCCUUCUCUUGCUUUUGCUUCCAAUUCAUUUAGUCCUCCAUAUUUCUCUGCAUCCAGAACCUUUUCCUUUCCAGAGCAGGAAAAAUAAAAGUCUCAAUCUGGAAGAGGUUUUUUUUUUUCACUCUAACAACAUGAAAUAAAUGCUCCUCUGCAUUUCUGUUAUUCAUUAAGAAAUAGGGGUCAUGACUAUAAGAAAUAAACUAUGGUUUGGCUAGGAGGGCCUUUCUGCACUACUGCUUGCCUCUGGCAUAA